UCUAAUAUGGCAGAAUAUUGCAUUGAAUUUAAACUUCAAAUAUAAAGUAAACUUUUAUUAGAA
Molecule: transfer RNA, 63 nt
Filed under: Loxilobus prominenoculus
Lineage: Eukaryota; Metazoa; Arthropoda; Insecta; Orthoptera; Tetrigidae
Description: tRNA-Leu
Source: RNAcentral